RNAcentral lists this ribosomal RNA (355 nucleotides) under Escherichia coli. RNAcentral describes it as "bacterial SSU rRNA". It matches the Rfam family "Bacterial small subunit ribosomal RNA", at positions 1 to 350 of the family's 1533-position model. Lineage: Bacteria; Pseudomonadati; Pseudomonadota; Gammaproteobacteria; Enterobacterales; Enterobacteriaceae. The record is from RNAcentral.
UUAAAUUGAAGAGUUUGAUCAUGGCUCAGAUUGAACGCUGGCGGCAGGCCUAACACAUGCAAGUCGAACGGUAACAGGAAGCAGCUUGCUGCUUUGCUGACGAGUGGCGGACGGGUGAGUAAUGUCUGGGAAACUGCCUGAUGGAGGGGGAUAACUACUGGAAACGGUAGCUAAUACCGCAUAACGUCGCAAGACCAAAGAGGGGGACCUUAGGGCCUCUUGCCAUCGGAUGUGCCCAGAUGGGAUUAGCUAGUAGGUGGGGUAACGGCUCACCUAGGCGACGAUCCCUAGCUGGUCUGAGAGGAUGACCAGCCACACUGGAACUGAGACACGGUCCAGACUCCUACGGGAGGCA